RNAcentral lists this unclassified non-coding RNA (635 nucleotides) under Hevea brasiliensis (rubber tree). The record is from RNAcentral. Lineage: Eukaryota; Viridiplantae; Streptophyta; Magnoliopsida; Malpighiales; Euphorbiaceae.
AUUUUUAGAGAGAGAGAGAGAGAGAGAGAAACAGGGAGAGAGAGAGGAAGAGAGAAGCUCAGGAUCCUCUCAGAUCGGACCGGAAUUCAUUUGGAUUCUGAGAAUAUUGCAAUUUUUGCAAUUUGAUGGGACGGGAACUUACAGAUUAAGAAAUGGAUAGGAAGCCGAACGGUGUUGUAGUGAACUCAAAUGGUGUCUCUUAUGAUAAAGUCCAUGCUCUUCCUAAAACUUCAGGACAUAGUGUUGAAGCAAAGGACUAUAAGGAGAAGGAAUGCGGUGCUGAAGAUUCAGUUGUUAAGAACCAUAACGAGAAACAAGACGUUCUUGGUGUCAAAAGCACAAAUUUUGAUACUGACCAAUCUGAGGCUAAAAAUGAAGAACCUGGUGCUGAGAAGUCAAGCGAGGAUAAAAAUUUCAGCUUCCCUGCUUCGAAAUCUGGUGGAACCAGAAAUGCAUGGGGGCAUCAUACUGUCCCACAGCCAUUUGCUUUGGCAACUGAAAAACGCGCUGGUGUGAACACUUCAACGAACGUGAAUAAUUUGAGCUCCCCUAUCGCUACGAAGAAUUCCCAGCUGAAUUCACCUUCUACAGCAAGGAAACCAUUGCACCCUGAUAAUAAGAAGCUUCCUGAUGAA